This 212-nucleotide ribosomal RNA is filed under the name uncultured bacterium. Its description in RNAcentral is "partial 16S ribosomal RNA". It matches the Rfam family "Bacterial small subunit ribosomal RNA", at positions 1281 to 1500 of the family's 1533-position model. The record is from RNAcentral.
GCCUGUCUCAGUUCGGAUUGGAGUCUGCAACUCGACUCCAUGAAGCUGGAUUCGCUAGUAAUCGCGCAUCAGCCAUGGCGCGGUGAAUACGUUCCCGGGCCUUGUACACACCGCCCGUCAAGCCAUGGAAGCCGGGAGUGCCUGAAGUGUGCAACCGCAAGGAGCGCCCUAAGGUAAAACUGGUGACUGGGGCUAAGUCGUAACAAGGUACC